GCUCGGAGCGUGGGCCGCGACUCUCACGGAUCCGGUUCCGCCCUCCCUCUCGCCGUCGACCCUCGGGGCUGGCGCCCGCGAUCCCUUUCCCAGCGUGCUCCGCGCCGUGAAGAAGCGGCUCCCGGGGACUGGGGGCAUUUUGUGUUGGCUGGAGCCGGAGCAACAAGAUGGCGGCGUCGGCGGAGUGACAGGGGUCCCUCCGGGCGGGAGCUGGCGGCAGCGGGGGCAGCGGGAUCGCCGCCCUAACUCACCGCGCCCCUUUUCCAGCCGGCGACGUCGCCGCGAGAGCGAGGCAGCGGCGGCCGCCAGGAACAAGUGGCCCGGCCCGGCAACCGCGAGCACCGCCUCGGCAGCCUGCGGCCUGGCCGGAGGAAGCCUGACAGCCGCGGAGAUCCGGGUCCGCCUGGCCGGUUCCGGGCCUGUAGCGCCGAGAAGGAGCCAGCGCCCCCCGGUUCCUGCCGCGCUCCGCGGACGAGCGCUAGAGGCCUCCGUCGUCCCCUAGAGGUGUCGGGGCUUGGCCCCAGCCUCCAUCUUCUCCCAGGAUGGCGAGCAGCAGCGGCUCCAAGGCCGAGUUCAUUGUCGGAGGGAAGUACAAACUGGUGCGGAAGAUCGGCUCUGGCUCCUUCGGGGACAUUUACCUGGCGAUCAACAUCACCAACGGCGAGGAAGUGGCAGUGAAGCUAGAAUCUCAGAAGGCCAGGCAUCCCCAGUUGCUGUACGAGAGCAAACUCUAUAAGAUUCUUCAAGGUGGGGUCGGCAUCCCCCACAUACGGUGGUAUGGUCAGGAAAAAGACUACAAUGUGCUCGUGAUGGACCUGCUCGGACCCAGCCUCGAAGACCUCUUCAACUUCUGUUCCAGAAGGUUCACAAUGAAAACUGUACUCAUGUUAGCCGACCAGAUGAUCAGUAGAAUUGAAUAUGUGCAUACAAAGAACUUUAUACACAGAGACAUUAAACCAGAUAACUUCCUAAUGGGUAUUGGGCGUCACUGUAAUAAGUGUUUAGAAUCUCCAGUGGGGAAGAGGAAAAGAAGCAUGACUGUUAGUACUUCUCAGGACCCAUCUUUCUCAGGAUUAAACCAGUUAUUCCUUAUUGAUUUUGGUUUGGCCAAAAAGUACAGAGACAACAGGACAAGGCAACACAUACCAUACAGAGAAGAUAAAAAUCUCACUGGCACUGCCCGAUACGCUAGCAUCAAUGCACAUCUUGGUAUUGAACAGAGUCGCCGAGAUGACAUGGAAUCAUUAGGAUAUGUUUUGAUGUAUUUUAAUAGAACCAGUCUGCCAUGGCAAGGACUCAAGGCUGCAACAAAGAAGCAAAAAUAUGAAAAAAUUAGCGAAAAGAAGAUGUCCACACCUGUGGAAGUUUUGUGUAAGGGGUUUCCUGCAGAAUUUGCCAUGUACUUAAACUAUUGUCGUGGGCUGCGCUUUGAGGAAGCCCCGGAUUACAUGUACCUGAGACAGCUAUUCCGCAUUCUUUUCAGGACCCUGAAUCACCAAUAUGACUACACAUUUGACUGGACAAUGUUAAAGCAGAAAGCAGCACAGCAAGCAGCCUCUUCAAGUGGGCAGGGUCAGCAGGCCCAAACCCCCACAGGCAAGCAAACUGACAAAACCAAGAGUAACAUGAAAGGUUAGUAGCCAAGAACCAAGUGACGUUCCAGGGGGAGAAAAUUGAACACAAAAUUGGGUCAUUCAUCCAUAUCUAACAGUGUUAGAUCGAGGAGGUGGUUUAAAAUACAUAAAAAUUUGGCUCUUUGUUUUAAAAAAAGACGUCCUUGGAAAAUUUGACUACUAACUUUAAACCCAAAUGUCCUUGUUCAUAUAUAUAUAUAUGUAUAUGUAUUUGUAUAUACAUAUAUGUGUGUAUAUUUAUAUCAUUCCUCUUGGGAUUUUGGGUCAUUUUUAACAACUGCAUCUUUUUUACUCAUUCAUUAACCCUUUCCAAAAUAAAUAUUUGGUCUUGGGAAUAUGGUGUGAUCAAGCAAUCCAAAAUCCUAGACCUAACACUUGUUGAUUUUUAAUAAUGAAUCUGGUUAGCCUUGAUAUUUUGACUUUUCCUUCAGACUAACAGUGUUAAGCCUUUUUCUGCAUGUUAAAGCUCUAUUUCACGUUUAAAAUGGAAAAGUGGGAACGUGAUCUAAUUUUAAGAGGUGGGUCUGGCAUUGCCCCCAGAGUGUCUGUCUGCUCAGUGCAGAGCGCUGUGGACAUGCUCUUAAAGCUCAGACGACUGAAAAGCUUGGCACGUCUUCAUCACAAAAAUAGAUCUUCCGUUGCUAGUUAAUGUGUUUUUAAUUUCAAAAUCGUUUUUUUCCUUAAGAUUUGAUUUUUUUUAAGUGUACAAAUAUUCAGGGUCCAGGGGUCCACCAUGGAAUUGAAUUCUCUAGCUGUUCCAUACAAAUUGAAUAAAAGCAUCAACUGGGGCAAAUGCCAUUGAGCUGCUAGUCUGUCUCCUUUCUCUCCCUGGCACUCCUAGUGCUGCGGAGUGGAACUGUCAGGGCACAGGGCCAUUUCUUACGACUGUUGCCGUGCAGUUCAACUCCUGUGUUUUUGUUUUCGUUUUUUUCUUUUCCCCUUUCUGGGGCUUACCUCCAGAUACUUGCCUACUUCCUGCAAGUGGUGGGCACGUAAGGUUUGAUUUUGGGUUCUGAUUAUUUAAUUUCUGAACGCCUGCUCUAGUCUGAACUUGGUCUUCUUUGGUCCAUAUUUUUAGUGUUGUGUUUAAAAAAAUUUUUGUAAUUUACAACUAGGCUCUAAUCUGAGGAUGUUUUUCAAAAAGUGUAGUUAACUGAUGUCGUCCUCAUCCCAGCAGCUCAUCUGUUAGGAAUGAAGUUGAAAUACUUGGCUUCCAUGUUUCUGUAUCUGGGAAGGAUCCACAGUUGAAGGUUUAGGGAGUGGGAGUUCUUAAUGAGAAGUUGGAGGUGAGGAGAGCAAAUACUAAAGCUUGCCCAGUGCUCUGCCUCUGCAUCACAGUUGGGACCUAAUUGUCCCUUUUGAGUCGUUGCAUAACUAAGCGCCAUUCAGCAAGUUCUUAGUGAGGUAGGUGGCUAGUAUUGCUGAGGAGGGGUCCUGCCUGUUGGGUGAGACCACAUAGACCCUCUAAACUGACAGGUUGGCAGCUGCAGUGUAUUUGCUUUCUCUCCCAGAUGAGCCCAAGUGUUGGCUAAAGCUGGCUGGGUGAUAGGAACAUCAUGGUGUCUAGAAUUAAAUUAGGUGAAAAUCUCGAGUUGGACCGGGAACACUUCCCUUCAGGCUUUCAGCAGCCUUCAGAAGGAAUUAUCUUAUCUUGAGCUAGUUCCAUUGUUAGUUUACUCUGUAUCUCUUACUCAAUAAACAAGCAGAAUUUUUGUCCUGCCUUAUCCAGGUCUAAAAGAUGAGAAGUUGGAUCCAUUGAGUUAGUAUGUUUCCUUGGAAAAAAUUGUAAUUAAACUUAAGUUUAAUCCUUACUUUUGUAUUGUAGCUGUUUUUCAUAAAAACAACUUAAGAUCUUAAAAAAAAUUCAUAGCAUUAUUUGACACUGGGACUAUACACAUUAUCACAUGAACCUGGAUUUGCAACAUUUUGAAAAAUUGGACUUUUCAUAAAGCACGCCACAUAUUGACUGCUUUCAGAAAGGCGUUUCCAGGCUGUAUGUUUUGACUCCAAGUAAAAUACUGCUUGCUGUUAAAACAUGCCUCUCCACAGAAUACAGACAACACAAUUCCUUUUAAUCUUUGAUUUGUAUUAUUUUGGACAUAGAACUUUGUGCUCUAAACAAAUCUUACACAAAACCCUGGUACAUAAAACCAUAGCAUAGCACAGCAGGUUUGAGGGUGGCAUGAAAUACGUAUGGGAAGCCUGUUCCCUGGCUGACCUCUCCCCCCACCCAGUUACCCGAAUUGGGUUCAGUGAGAAAUCUCCUAUGAAGCCUAGAGCUUAAAAACAACUGUUCCAGCUUUACUUACUGCUGGUGUCCUUCUCUCAGUAAUAAAGGGGUUUGAAAGCAUAUAGGGUUCCCCACAGUCGUUUUUUAUUCAGGGAAGAGCUCCUCCAGCUCCAUAUUUAUUGAUUUUAAGAAAUCCUAUAUAGGGAGUUCCCGUGGUGGCUCAGUGGUUAACGAAUCCGACUAGGAACCAUGAGGUUGUGGGUUUGGUCCCUUCCCUUGCUCAGUGGGUUAAGGAUCCGGCAUUGCCAUGAGCUGUGGUGUAGGUCGCAGGUGCGGCUCGGAUCCCACAUUGCUGUGACUGUGGGGUAGGCUGACGGCUACAGCUCUGAUUCGACCCCUAGCCUGGGAACCUCCAUAUGCCACGGGAGCAGCCCUGGAAAAGGCAAAAAGACCCCCCCAAAAAAAGAAAGAAAGAAAUCCUAUAUAGUUCCUGCUGUGGCAUGGGUUUGAUCCCUGGCCAGGAGCUUCAUGCUGUAGAUGUGGCCCCAAAAAUGCAUAUAGACAUCCUAUAGAUUAUUCGUUAUUCACUAGUUAUACCUUUGGGGGUUUCCACAUCAGAUACUUUCGUUUCUUAAAUGAAUCUUCAGCAGGUAAAUCUCUAUUGCAGGCCCAUGCGUUCCGGCGGGAAGGAGGGAGGGGAAUAUCCCCCAGAUGGUGGCUUCAAAGUCUGACUAUUCAGCUGUGAUGGGCUUAUUAGAUACAGUAGACUUUUCUUUGCUUUUCUAAAGAAAUGGUCUUUUGAAAGACUCCAUUUCAAAGCCCACCAGAAGACUAAGGUCCAAGGCCUCUUUCCUAAUGAUGCUCUGAUCUCUACUAUGAGGUGUCUGUCCUGUUGCCACGUGCUCAGGUACCACAGGCUGUAAUUACUGUUUCACACACAGCAAAGAGGGAAAGAAGAGAUUUUCAUCUCUGCACUUCCAAAUGCAUUUUUACUCCCUUUGCUUGAACUAUAUGCGAUUAUAAGGAAAGUGCUUUGCAAGACCUUGAAGUAGUAAAGGAAAAGGAAGUCUUUUUAGGACAUUCAGGAUCUACCUAAGUUCCCCAUCUCCUCCGCUGAGGCAGAGAUGGGGAGAAUUUCAGAGGGUAGUGGAGCCAAGUGGAGCCUCACAUGACUCUUGUUACUCGCGUCACCUGAGCCAUCUGGUCACGACUGUGGGCGUCAGGACGAAGCGUAGCUUUGCCGUGACGUGCAUGGGUGUCAACUUUUUGGCCUUUGGUAGAUGAGAAAUAGGUUUUCCAUCACAUGUCCUACACAUCCAUGGUCUUCCUUGAAUGACCUCCCAGUGUUUACUGGGCUUCACUUACUACUCAUGUCUAGCUUCCCUUUUUCUGGCUUCACCAAUCGCUGCUAGGAACGGGGCUGGUCAUUCAGCAACGUAAACCAAAUCACAGGGGAAGACCUUGAAAUAUCUGGAGAGACUGCUCUACUCUGAAUACUCUCAAUCCAGAGACGUGCCAGGGAGCUGCGUCUGUUUGCUGAAAUCUUUGUCAGCUUUUUCUCACUGUGGACAGUAAAGCUGGAGAGAAAAGAACCAAAUAGCCCAACAGGAAAUGAAGACGAGCACUUGAGAGCUGACUUGUGGUGACCUGAAGCCCACGUCUCGAAGGCUUGCUGCGUCUCAACAACUUUGCGACGUGGCGGGCUGACAGCAGUCAGAAGACCUAGAGGAAUGGAGUGCUGCUCGGCGGUGUCCAAUGCAGACCGUCUGCCAGUUGGGGAAGGAAUCACUUGAAACAGGAACAAAGGGAUUCAGUCCUUCAUUCUUUGUUUUGACUGUUGCAGUGAAGAUGAGUCUUUGGACUUUUAGAAGCUGUUUGACACCACCUAAACCGCAAGACACACCAGGGACUGACGCACCCUGGGGGAAGAAUGCUUACUCGCUGCAAGAUUGAAAACGGUGACCACCCAGCAGAUGCUCCCAAUGAGAUUUUUCCUAAACAAGCAACAGUAACGUUUUAGGACAGCUCACUGGAAAAACUGAUCCCUGGGUGGAGGGUCCUGCCGUCGGCCAGUCUGAAGAAUGAAAUCUGGAUUUGACUGCUCUGUUCUCCGGGAAUGUUGUUAGGCCAGCUUUUAACCAGCCCCUAAACAACUGUAAUUAUUCCCUGGCCCAGCAGUUCUUCAGAUGUCCCGCUAAGAGAUGAACAGACACAAUUCUUACGCCUGUUAAAGACACAAGAAUCUGCUAAUAUUUUGACUGCCAAUGUAACUUAUGUUUGUUUUGGGGGCUUUUUCCCCCCAUUACCGUGACAGCAGUUUCCAUUUUGAAUAUCCAGUCGGUUGGAUAUUCAACAUAGAACAACUUUCCCCUCUAUCUAAGUAGAGCAUUCCCGUGAAAGCUUUUACAAGUGAAAUGGUGUAAAGAAGGCGUUACCUCAGGAUGCCUCCUGCUCAUGAAUGGGGGUGGAGCAGAGAUGCUUGCAGACAGCGUACAAGCUGAGGCAGGGCAAGGCUGAGGGUAGGUCCCGGCAGAGACCGCCCCUGCUCUGGGCUGCCAGUGAAACAAAGGCAAAAAUCCCCUUAGUGAACACCGGUGCUAAUGUAGGUCUUUGAUGAAAAGUGCAGUGGUAUAAAGUGGACUUUGGAAAAGUAGGGGAUACCUGUAAUAAAUCCUUCAGUGAAGAGUACCAGUGUAAGAAGGCUAUGCGGAAAGAACACUCAGCGGUUUUAGUGGCUGUGAAGGGCUUUUUAUUAUGUGCGACAGUGGUUGCAGGCCUUGAAACCAAAUGCUCGUUGGGCUAAGGGUCAUUGCUGUUCAGCUCAUCCCUGUUAACAUUGGACCUCAAUUACAGUAUAAGGUCAGAUUUUAAUUCAGCUCUGAUUUGACAGCCUUCUUUUUGCGUUUACACUGCUAAUCCUGUUUAGAAGAUGCAUCCGAUAGGCAGUAUUCCCUGGGGUGUCCAUUUGCAGAAAGUUUCAGUAGGUAUCUUUCCUUUUUGGCAUUUGCUGUGUGAACUUAGUCCUUGGGAUGGCAACGAAGGUCUCUCCUGCACCUGCUCGGUUGCCGGGCACCUUGGAGAGACAGCAGAGUGCAGCAUGCGUGCACAUCGGUGUCUUUAGGGCUUGUCAGGAGGUACUUCCUGAGUGAAUGAAGGGGCCAGCCUGCCCUCAAGUGCAAAGCCUCCUAGAUAACAAGGUAGUGAGAGAAUAUUUACCAAGAAGUGAUCUGUUACUGUUCGGUAUUAUCUUUGAAAAAACGAAGGCAUUGCAUAGUGUGUAAAAAGUGAAUUUACAGAAAUAUUUCAUUUAUUCCACAAAAUAAAAUAAAAGUCCAGCAAAUGUCAAAGUACCAAAAAAAGGAGCAGCUUAUGAUGGACAGAAACAUGGCUUGUGCUCAGGAAGUAGGUGAUAAGAGUGGGCCAGGAGAGAACAGUUGGACAAAGGGGCAGUGAAGCCCUAAAGGAGGCCCGUAGGUGAGAGGAGGACACUGAUAAUGACGGGGUGGGUGUCCCUCUGCCUUCGGCCAUGGCUGCACAGGUGGGGAUGGCCCUGUUCCUUGUUGCCUUUCGCCGUAGGUAGACCUACCUGGGACGCCUUCUGUUCAAACCUGCCUUCUGUGGGAGGUCUGCAGUCUGAUUUGUGGGUGAAGAGAGGUGUGUUUACAGGUUGGUGAGGCUUGAAGUAAAGCCACGGAAGCCUCACUUGUUUACAUGUUCAAAUCGGCGAUAAAACUAAGGUUUUUAAUGUAGAAGUAUGGAAGUACCCUUCUUUUAAAGUCUGAGGCUCCUGUGUAAAAAUCAUGCUUUAAAUAUUUAGCAGGUUUGUGUUCAGUGGAAUAACGCAGAUAAUUAUGCCUUGAAUACACUUAUCAUGAAAGCCUUUUGUUCCUCAUUUGUAUCAGAAAUGCUAUACAGGAAGGUUCCUGCUCAUAAUAUGGUUAAAGUAUACUUUCUAGUUAAAACAGAGCAGUCUUAUUUUUUAUUAGACAAAUAUUUGAAGACAUCCUGUACUCCAGGUACUAGAAAUAUGGAAGUAGACACAGCGGGCUUACUGCAGCUGCUCCUAAACCUCCCUCUGUCCCGAGUCCUGCUGGACGGAAGGCUUUCUUUCCCUCACUGUGUGCGGCUCCCGCCUAGAGGCAUCCCGAACAGAACACUUUCCCGUUUCUCUGUUUUUAAACGCUGACCUAGUGAUUUUCACAUAGACGGAAAAGGAACUGUUUCCCUACCUUGGGUGCGGUUGAGAACUUUCUGACUUGGAGUUUUAACAUUCUCUUUUCUGUUUUGAUUUUUCUAAAUAGGUUUCUAAGCAUGAAUCGAGGAACAGAAGCAGCAGAGCAGAUGAUCGGAGCAGCAUUUGUUUCUCCCCAAAUCUAGACAUUUUAGUUCAUAUGUACACUAGCCAGUGGCUGUGGACAACCAUUUCCUUGGUGUAAAGAACUUCAUUUCGGUAUAAACUGGCUCUGGGCAGCACUGGCGAUACUGCGUCCCGAGUUGUAGCCGCUGUAAUUGUGAAUAUUAACUGAGAUAGUGAGACAUGGUGUCCAGUUUUCUAUUGCAUUUUUUCAAGUGGAAAAGUUAACUGAGUGGUUGACACACACAAAUUGGUGGACAGAUUGUGCAUAUGCCAAUUGUUUUGUUAAAACCUUUUCUUUUGAACUAUACUGCUUUGAGAUCUCACUUCAGAAGAACGGCAUGAACAGUCUUCAGCCGCAGUUGUGAUGGUUGUAAAUGCUCGCAGCUGUGCGUUCUUAGGGUUUCUUCAUCCCUGGGGUUUGCAAGUUGUUCACUUAAAACAUUCUUAACAUGGUUGGCUUCUUGUGUGCAAGCCAGCUGAUAUGGUAGCAACCAAAGAUUCCAGUGUUUGAGCAUAUGAAAGACUCUGCCUGCUUACCUGUGCUAGAAAUAACAGCAUCUAAAGUGAAGACUUAAGAAAAACUUAGUGACUACUAGAUUAUCCGUAGGACUCUGCAUUAACUCUAUAAUGUUCUUGGUAUUAAAAAAAGCAUAUUUGUCACAGAAAUUUAGUUAACAUCUUACAACUGAACAUGUGUGUAUGUUGCUUAGAUAAAUGUAAUCACUGUAAACAUCUAUAUGAUCUGGGAUUUUGUUUUUAUUUUGAAAUGGGAGCUCUUUUUUGUUUACAAGUUCAUUAAAAACUAAAAACUGUUUCUGUAAGGAAAUGAGAUUUUUUUAAAAACAAAAAAAUGCCUUGCUGACUCACUAUGAAAUCAAAAUCUCCCCAAUUUUUACGAGACUAUUUCAAGCCAUUUGUUAUGUAAUUAUCCUUUGCAAAUCAUUUUAGAUUUAGUACGAGGACUUCUCAAAUGUUUUUAUUUAAAAAUUUUUUUCCCUUGAAGCGAAAGGCAUUCUUACCAUUUUCUUUUUUUAAUGACUUGCAGGCGCAAUACCUCGUGCUGCAGCCGCAAGGGCCAGGACUUGGUAUUGUAACUCCUGCAGCCUCAGACGAACAGCUGGACUGAUUUUGAAUGAGAAUGAAAGCGUUAAAGGGUUUAACUACAAAAUGAAGCUUUUCUUUAAAUUCCUUGCUAAUUGGAUCUGAGGAGGUUGACUCCGAAACUUUGGAAAAGCAUCUUACCUACCCUGUGAGGUUCUGGGAUUGCCAGCCCUCCCUGGCUGCACUUCGUCUCAAUCCUAAUAUGUGGCUCUUUUCUCUUUCUGACCCAAGAAAAAGAAAAGCUAAGCAAUUCUUUAGUGUAAUUUCUUCAUUUAUAGCAUGUCCAGAUAAAUUAAAAGAACUUUUGUCUGAGAAAUGCUGCCAGGCGCCUAUUGUCUAAAUGUAGGGUAUUUUCUAAAAUAACCUUGAAAUUGUAAAUUGACACGUGUUUGAUCAGAUUGUGUCAGGUUUAAUUUGUUCCUUUUUUUUUGAAAACCACGUUAGCAAUAACUACUUCAGUGACUAACACGUUCUGCCGUGAAAGGAUCCCUGCUGGCACCAUCACGAGUGUGAACUUGGGGGAGGCAGCUGCUUUGUUUUGUUUCCUUUCUCUCCACCUCUGUCGGUUAAGGUACUUGUUCCUCGACUAAUAAACCCUUUGAUACUUUUAGCCAGAAAUCAGUCUCAUAAAGCUAUUUUUGAGUAUAGUUUGUGUAAAAUAAAAAUGUUUAGCUUUGGUAAUGACUUUUCCAAGCUGAACUCCCUCUAGCAAGAUAUUUUUCAGUGCUUUUAUUUACUAUGCACUUAGACUAUGCACUUUUUCUGAAAUAUUUUUGUAACACUUAACUUUUUUGUAUUUUGCCAUUGGAAAAGGUUGUGGUGUAGUUGGUCUGUAAUUAAUUACGUUGCAGAUGUAAAACUGCUGUUAGCUUUGUAAAUCAAACGAUAGGUGUUUUGUCCUGGUAUAUUGUCAUUCCAUUAUCUUCACAGUUCACACAAGAAGAAUGUGAAUUUCAGUGAAUGCUGUUACUAAUCCUGUCGGGAGAUGAAUCUCAUUUCACCAAAUUAAAUUAUGUUUUUCCACUAAAAUGAUGGUACAAGUUGAAGACACAUCACUUUGAAAUUGGACGACCUCACCACUUGAGCCCCGCGGUGGCUUCCUCCGCCGAACUCGAGGUUACUCUUGAUUUGUUCACCCACUGGGGGUGCAGUUCCUCUAAAUGUUGGGAGAUGGCCAUUCUAACUACUGUUGAAUGUCUCUGUUUUGGGAAGGUAUAACAAGAAAAUAAAAAAGAAUAUAUAUGAA
Sus scrofa (pig) is the source of this 10568-nucleotide RNA transcript. It is a transcript of the gene named casein kinase 1 alpha 1, with no coding region annotated. NCBI's taxonomy places the organism in Eukaryota, Metazoa, Chordata, Mammalia, Artiodactyla, Suidae. The record is from RefSeq and is marked validated.